RNAcentral lists this small RNA (125 nucleotides) under Klebsiella pneumoniae. Its description in RNAcentral is "RtT sRNA". It matches the Rfam family "RtT RNA". From Rfam's summary of the family: This family represents a bacterial cis-regulatory element known as RtT RNA. The record is from RNAcentral. Lineage: Bacteria; Pseudomonadati; Pseudomonadota; Gammaproteobacteria; Enterobacterales; Enterobacteriaceae.
GCCCAUGGGGAAGGAUGAGAAGCUUCGACUAAGGUUCGACUCGAGCGAAGCGAGAGAACGUUGCCGCAGGCAACGGCCCGAAGGGCGAGGCGCUUUAGCGCCGAGUAAUCCUUCCCCCACCACCA